UACGAAGGGAGCUAGCGUUGUUCGGAAUCACUGGGCGUAAAGCGCACGUAGGCGGAUGUGUCAGUCAGGGGUGAAAUCCCGGGGCUCAACCUCGGAACUGCCUUUGAUACAGCACAUCUUGAGUCCGGAAGAGGUGGGUGGAAUUCCUAGUGUAGAGGUGAAAUUCGUAGAUAUUAGGAAGAACACCGGUGGCGAAGGCGGCCCACUGGUCCGGUACUGACGCUGGGGUGCGAAAGCAUGGGGAGCGAACAGG
RNAcentral lists this ribosomal RNA (253 nucleotides) under uncultured bacterium. RNAcentral's name for it is "partial 16S ribosomal RNA". It matches the Rfam family "Bacterial small subunit ribosomal RNA", at positions 524 to 776 of the family's 1533-position model. The record is from RNAcentral.